GGAAUAUUGGUCAAUGGGCGCAAGCCUGAACCAGCCAUGCCGCGUGAAGGAUUAAGGCCCUCUGGGUUGUAAACUUCUUUUAUCAGGGAAGAAACCUCUCGAUUCAUCGGGAGCUGACGGUACCUGAGGAAUAAGCACCGGCUAACUCCGUGCCAGCAGCCGCGGUAAUACGGAGGGUGCAAGCGUUAUCCGGAUUUACUGGGUUUAAAGGGUGCGUAGGCGGAAAAUUAAGUCAGUGGUGAAAGCCCCG
This 250-nucleotide ribosomal RNA is filed under the name uncultured bacterium. RNAcentral describes it as "partial 16S ribosomal RNA". It matches the Rfam family "Bacterial small subunit ribosomal RNA", at positions 358 to 605 of the family's 1533-position model. The record is from RNAcentral.